This 65-nucleotide transfer RNA is filed under the name Proctoporus sucullucu. RNAcentral's name for it is "tRNA-His". It matches the Rfam family "tRNA". From Rfam's summary of the family: Transfer RNA (tRNA) molecules are approximately 80 nucleotides in length. Lineage: Eukaryota; Metazoa; Chordata; Lepidosauria; Squamata; Gymnophthalmidae. The record is from RNAcentral.
UGUCUACAUAGUUUAACCAAAACACUAGACUGUGAACCUAGAGACAGAAAAUAUUCUUGUAGACC